This 253-nucleotide ribosomal RNA is filed under the name uncultured bacterium. Its description in RNAcentral is "partial 16S ribosomal RNA". It matches the Rfam family "Bacterial small subunit ribosomal RNA", at positions 524 to 776 of the family's 1533-position model. The record is from RNAcentral.
UACGAAGGGGGCUAGCGUUGCUCGGAAUCACUGGGCGUAAAGCGCACGUAGGCGGAUUGUUACGUCAGGGGUGAAAUCCUGGAGCUCAACUCCAGAACUGCCUUUGAUACUGGCGAUCUUGAGUCCGGGAGAGGUGAGUGGAACUGCGAGUGUAGAGGUGAAAUUCGUAGAUAUUCGCAAGAACACCAGUGGCGAAGGCGGCUCACUGGCCCGGUACUGACGCUGAGGUGCGAAAGCGUGGGGAGCAAACAGG